GACGAACGCUGGCGGCGUGCUUAACACAUGCAAGUCGAACGGAAAGGCCCUGCUUUUGUGGGGUGCUCGAGUGGCGAACGGGUGAGUAACACGUGAGUAACCUGCCCUUGACUUUGGGAUAACUUCAGGAAACUGGGGCUAAUACCGGAUAGGAGCUCCUGCUGCAUGGUGGGGGUUGGAAGGUUUCGGCGGUUGGGGAUGGCCUCGCGGCCUAUCAGCUUGUUGGUGGGGUAGUGGCUUACCAAGGCUUUGACGGGUAGCCGGCCUGAGAGGGUGACCGGCCACAUUGGGACUGAGAUACGGCCCAGACUCCUACGGGAGGCAGCAGUGGGGAAUAUUGCACAAUGGGCGGAAGCCUGAUGCAGCAACGCCGCGUGCGGGAUGACGGCCUUCGGGUUGUAAACCGCUUUCGCCUGUGACGAAGCGUGAGUGACGGUAAUGGGUAAAGAAGCACCGGCUAACUACGUG
RNAcentral lists this ribosomal RNA (468 nucleotides) under uncultured bacterium. RNAcentral's name for it is "partial 16S ribosomal RNA". It matches the Rfam family "Bacterial small subunit ribosomal RNA", at positions 28 to 507 of the family's 1533-position model. The record is from RNAcentral.